AUUUGAAGGGAGUAGUAGCUAGGUUAUUAGAGAAGAAGACUUUAGACUUUGAGAAGAAGACUAUAUAUAUAUAUAUAUCUUCUUCUCAAAGUCUAAAGUCUUCUUCUCUAAUAACCUAGCUACUACUCCCUUCAAAUG
Molecule: microRNA precursor, 138 nt
Filed under: Paramuricea clavata
Lineage: Eukaryota; Metazoa; Cnidaria; Anthozoa; Malacalcyonacea; Plexauridae
Source: RNAcentral